RNAcentral lists this ribosomal RNA (254 nucleotides) under uncultured bacterium. Its description in RNAcentral is "partial 16S ribosomal RNA". It matches the Rfam family "Bacterial small subunit ribosomal RNA", at positions 524 to 776 of the family's 1533-position model. The record is from RNAcentral.
GGCGUAGGGUCCAAGCGUUGUCCGGAUUUACUGGGCGUAAAGAGCGCGUAGGCGGUCUGUUAAGUGAGAAGUGAAAUCUCCAGGGCUCAACCCGGAAACUGCUUUUCAUACUGGCAGACUUGAGGGAUGCAGAGGUGAAUGGAAUUCCUGGUGUAGCGGUGAAAUGCGUUGAUAUCAGGAGGAACACCCAUGGCGAAGGCAGUUCACUGGGCAUCAUCUGACGCUGAGGCGCGAAAGCGUGGGUAGCAAACAGG